UACGGAGGGUGCGAGCGUUAAUCGGAAUUACUGGGCGUAAAGAGUGCGUAGGUGGUUGAAUAAGUUAUCUGUAAAAUCCCUGGGCUUAACCUGGGCAGGUCAGAUGAUACUGUUUGACUCGAGUAUGGGAGAGGGUAGUGGAAUUUCCGGUGUAGCGGUGAAAUGCGUAGAGAUCGGAAGGAACACCAGUGGCGAAGGCGGCUACCUGGCCUAAUACUGACACUGAGGCACGAAAGCGUGGGGAGCAAACAGG
RNAcentral lists this ribosomal RNA (253 nucleotides) under uncultured bacterium. RNAcentral's name for it is "partial 16S ribosomal RNA". It matches the Rfam family "Bacterial small subunit ribosomal RNA", at positions 524 to 776 of the family's 1533-position model. The record is from RNAcentral.